CGACCCAACCCGUUUGAGCGCCUGCCGCCUUGUCGUCUCCACCAAACUCAACUCCCCCACCACUCCCCCUCCCCUCCGCAUCUCGCCACUCCCCCGCCUCGUCCCUCUCUCCGGCGACCUCUCCGGCGGCGGAACGGUCGCCGCAUGGAGCUGUAGGCCUAGCGCUGAAGCUAUCUCCUUGCCCCUGCGCCGGCUGCGGCCAUGGCCAACUAUCUGGCGCAGUUCCAGACCAUCAAGUCCUCCUCGGACCGCAUCGUCAUCGCCGUUGAGGAUGUGAGUGACUUGUGGCUCAACGUCAAAGAUAGUUUUGAGCAACGCUUGCCAGUCAAGAAAGCCUGUCUCAAUAACAAGGCGAGGAACCCCGUUUUAGUGGAAAACCUACCAGCUGAGUUUAUACAGACAACUGAUUCAAGGCUGCGUAGUCGAUUUCCGCAAGAACAAUACUUGUUUUGGUUUCGCGAACCAUAUGCUACUGUUGUUCUUGUUACUUGCGAGGAUCUUGAUGAGUUCAAGACCAUUCUUAAGCCUCGCCUCAAAUUAAUUGUGCAAAAUGAUGAGAGAGAAUGGUUCAUUGUAUUUGUGUCGAAGGCCCAUCCUAGCAAUGAUCAAGCAACUAAGAUGGCAAAGAAAGUAUACGCUAGGCUUGAGGCCGAUUUCAACACUAAAAAGAGAGAAAGGUGCUGCAAAUUUGAUCUUCAUGGACCUGAUGAUGAAUUCUGGGACGAUUUUGACUCGAAAAUGGUGGACUGCAUAAGAAACACAUUGGAUAAAAGGGUCCAGUUCUAUGAAGAAGAAAACCGCAGGUUAAGUGAGCAGCGAUUCACACCAAUAUGGAACUUCUGCAACUUUUUUAUUCUGAAGGAAAGCUUGGCAUUUAUGUUUGAGGUGACUAAUCUUCAUGAAGAUUCACUCCGUGAAUAUGAUGAGCUUGAACUAUGCUAUUCAGAAUCAGUUAAUCUCCCAGGGAAACCUCGAGAAUUUGGAGGACUGGAUACUGGUGAUGAUCAGGCUGCGCUGCUAAAUCCAGGGUUCAAAGCGUUGACCCAGAUUGUUCAGGAUGACGUGUUCAGGGAAUUUGAGUUUAGGCAAUACAUAUUUGCUUGCCAGGCUAAGUUAUUAUUUAAACUGUCUCGACCAGUUGAGGUUGCUGCAAGAGGAUAUGCUUUUGUUGUCAGCUUUUCCAAGACGCUAGCCUUGCAUGAGAAUGCACUACCCUUUUGUUUCCGCGAAGUAUGGGUGAUAACUGCUUGUUUGGGUUUAAUUAAAUCCACAAGUACACAAUAUGAUGGUGGAGUUGUUGCUAUUGAUUCAGAGAAGGAGUUCUAUCGUCUUCAGGGUGACCUUUAUUCUCUCUGUCGUGCUAAGUUUAUGAGGCUUGCUUAUUUGAUUGGUUAUGGGGUUGAAAUAGAAAAAAGUCCAGUCAACAGUGCCUCAUUAAGCAUGCUAUCUUGGCCAAAGCCAGCUACUUGGCCUUCGAUUCCGCCUGAUUCGUCGGCAGAAGUAAUGGCAAAGGAGAAGACAAUUCUUCAAGCAAAAGCAAGAGAAAAGCUCUUUGACAUUCAGAGGAAACCACUGCCAUUGGAACCUUCUUCUCUUCUACGUGAAGCUAAUAGGCGUAGAGCUUUUCUUUCAGUUGGAAAUUUGUCUGAAUUAUAUGAUUCAGUUGAUGGUUCAGGUUUAGGUGCACAUUCAAAACUUUCUCCCAACAAAUCUUCUUCUAACUUGAUGACAAGAACUAUGUCUGGGCCAGCAACCUCUGAGACUUCUCUACCAGUUGAUCGGCCUAUGAGGUUGUCAGAAAUUCAUGUUGCUGCUGAGCAUGCAUUGAAACAGACGAUAUCUGAUCCUGAUUUUAUGACGUCACUUUCAUCACCAGAAGAGUUUGAGAGUAGAUAUAUGGAGCUUACUAAAGGCGCAGCUGACAAUUAUCACCGCUCUUGGUGGAAAAGACAUGGAGUUGUGCUUGAUGGAGAGAUUGCAGCUAUAUUUUUUAAGCAUGGGAAUUAUGACCUGGCUGCAAAAUCCUAUGAGAAAGUGUGUGCUCUCUAUUCUGCAGAAGGCUGGGAAGAACUGUUGGCAGAUGUUCUUCCUGAUCUUGCAGAAUGCCAGAAGAUUCUUAAAGACGAAGCUGGUUAUCUGGCUUCCUGUGUGAAGUUACUGUCUCUUGAGAGUAGCUUGUUUUCAUCUAAAGAGCGGCAGGCUUUCCAGUCAGAGGUUGUUCGGCUUGCUCACAGUGAAAUGAGGCAUCCUGUACCCCUUGAUGUUUCAUCAUUAAUUACAUUCGCUGGAAAUCCUGCUCCGCCACUAGAAUUAUGUGAUGGCGAUCCUGGUACACUAUCUGUAGCAGUCUGGAGUGGCUUCCCAGAUGACAUAACACUUGAGUCUCUCAGUUUAAGAUUGUCAGCUUUCUCUAGUGCAGAUGAAGGUCUUAAGGCAAUAAGGAGUACAGAUGCACGUGUUCUUGUACCAGGUAGAAAUAUUAUCACCUUCGACAUUCCUCCUCAAAAGCCAGGUUCCUAUGUGUUGGGCGCUCUCACUGGACAGAUUGGCAAGCUGUCAUUCAGAUCACAUGGAUUUUCUCAAGAUGGUCCAGUGGACACUGAUGAAUUCAUGAGCUUUGAGAAGCCAACAAGACCUGUUUUGAAGGUGAGAAAACCGAGGGCUUUGGUUGAUAUUACUCCUGCUGUAUCAUCUGCGUUGCUUAUGAAUGAACUCCAGUGGAUCGGGUUGAUUGUCAAGCCUAUAGACUAUUCUUUGAAAGGUGGCAUACUGCAUAUAGAUGCCGGUGCUGAACUAAAAAUUGAGGAGUCUCAGAUGAUUGAGAUAGAAAGUUACAGAAGCGAUGGGGAGCAUUCUAGUCCUAUUGAUGCUUCCAAGGUAUUAUCAAGGCCCACUGAUACUGGAAGGGUUGAGAAGGUUCCUAUCGAAAAUGGGAAGAUAAAACUGCCAGAUUGGGCUAGUGACGUGACAACGCUUGUUUGGUUCCCUGUUCGUGCUAUCGACGAUACAGUUCCAAAGGGAACAUCCCCAGCAUCCCCUCAGAAACAUAGCAUAGUAGAUGGGAUGAGAAUGAUUGCUCUCAAGCUUGAAUUUGGAGCUUUCCAUAAUCAAAUAUUUGAAAGGACCAUUGCCGUACAUUUCACUAAUCCAUUCCAUGUGAGCACACGUGUUGUUGACAAGUGCAAUGAUGGAACUCUACUUCUGCAGGUAAUAUUGCAUUCUGAAGUGAAGGCUACUCUGCAUGUAAAGGAUGUAUCAUUGGACCUACAAGCUGGAUUUGAGCACCUAGGCAAGGGAGAUGGACGUCCGACUUCGAGUUUGUUCCCUCUGGUUAUUGCUCCUUCUUCCAAAGCUGGAAUCUUGUUUGUGAUACGUUUAAGUGGCACAAAAGACCUAGAUGAGCUGGAACAGGCUGACAGCAUGUUGCAUAUUAAAUACGGGAUAUCCGGUGACCGAGCAACCGGAGCACACUCUCCAGUUCCUGUUAAACCUGAUGAUUCUGAAGAGCUUCUAUUCAAGAUUUCACUCAAACUGAAGCGCCCUGUUCUAGAUCCAUGCCUGGCAGUUGGAUUCCUUCCGUUUUCUACCGAUUGCCUGAGGGUUGGUCAAUUAGUCAACAUGAAAUGGCGGGUUGAAAGGCUGAAGGACCUGGAGGAAGCAUCUCUGUCUGACGAUGAAAUACUUUAUCAGGUGGACGCUAAUCCACAGAACUGGAUGGUUGCUGGGAGGAAAAGCGGUCACAUUUCAUUCUCAGAAGCACAAGGAUCAAGGAUCGAGAUCGCCGUGACAUGUGUCCCGCUGGUGUCGGGGUACGUGCACCCGCCCCAGCUAGGCCUGCCCGACGUAGGCGAUGCGAAUAUCAGCUGCAAUCCGGCAGGUCCCCACCUGGUGUGCGUGCUUCCUCCCACUCUCAGCACCUCCUACUGCAUACCGGCUUGAUUCAUGAGCCAUCCGUGCCAUUACGUUAGCUACUUAUAGAGGUCACCAUUUGAGAUACAAGGUGUUCUGUUUUUGCAUGGAGGCGGCCACCAUUUGAGAUACAAGUCGAAUGAAGCAAGUGGAAGGAGCUCUCGUUUCAGCAAGCAGAAGAAGCUCCUUCGUUAAGCUUUUGAUGGCUGACAACACUAUGCAAUCAGAAAGUUUGCUCGCCAAUCCCAAAUUGGCCGCUUCCUCCAGUUCUUUUUUUCUGAAUUGCGCUUCCUCUUGUUGUUGCAACAACAAUCAUUGUAAGGAAUGGAUGGUUAAGACAUGCAAUUUGUUUUGCGUGAAAGAACCGCUCAAUCUAUUAAAUUUUUCAGCA
RNAcentral lists this ribosomal RNA (4300 nucleotides) under Triticum aestivum (bread wheat). RNAcentral's name for it is "partial small subunit ribosomal RNA". The record is from RNAcentral. Lineage: Eukaryota; Viridiplantae; Streptophyta; Magnoliopsida; Poales; Poaceae.